Molecule: ribosomal RNA, 2570 nt
Filed under: bovine gut metagenome
Description: bacterial LSU rRNA
Rfam family: Bacterial large subunit ribosomal RNA
Source: RNAcentral
AAGAUAGACAAAGAGUUACAAAGUUAUCGUUUAGAAGAACGGCUUGGGAAAGCCGACCACAGAGAGUGAAAGUCUCGUAUUCGAAAAGCGUUAACCUCUUGAGUGUUACCCAAGUAGCGCGGGUCACGUGAAAUCCUGUGUGAAUCCGGGCGGACCACCGUCUAAGGCUAAAUACUUUCUGCCACCGAUAGCGAACAGUACCGUGAGGGAAUGGUGAAAAGAACCCCGGGAGGGGAGUGAAACAGAAUCUGAAACCGUACGUCUACGAGCAGUCAGAGCACCGUUAUUUGGUGCGAUGGCGUGCCUUUUGCAUAAUGAUCCGGCGAGUUGCUUAUACGUUGCGAGGUUAAUCAAUAUAGUUGAGGAGCCGUAGCGAAAGCGAGUCCGAACAGGGCGCUUCAGUAGCGUGUAGCAGACCCGAAACCGAGUGAUCUACCCAUGGUCAGGUUGAAGUGAGCCUAACCGCUCAUGAAGGACCGAACCAGUGUCAGUUGAAAAUGGCUUGGAUGAACUGUGGGUAGUGGUGAAAUGCUAAUCGAACUCGGAUAUAGCUGGUUCUCUCCGAAAUGCAUUUAGGUGCAGCGUUACGUGUUAUGUUGCGGGGGUAGAGCACUGAAUGUUCUAGGGGCCCCACCGGGUUACCGAAAUCAAUCAAACUCCGAAUACCGUAACAGUAUAGCGUAGCAGUGAGACUGCGGGAGAUAAGUUUCGUAGUCAAAAGGGAAACAGCCCAGACCAUCAGCUAAGGUCCCUAAAUAUCGACUAAGUGUAAAAGGAAGUGAAAUCGCGUAAACAGCCGGGAUGUUGGCUUAGAAGCAGCCAUUCGUCUAAAAAGUGCGUAACAGCUUACCGGUCGAAUGUGAUUUCGCGCCGAUAAUGUAAGGGGGCUGAAGUCGAUUACCGAAGCUAUGGAUUACCGUCUUGUACGGUAGUGGUAGGAGAGCGUUCUCACAGCGAUGAAGCGGUACCGUAAGGAGUUGUGGAGUUGUGAGAAGUGAGGAUGCCGGAAUGAGUAGCGAAAAGGGGAGNNGGGUUCUUAAGGAAGGAUCGUCCUCUUGAGUUUAGUCGGUCCUAAGGCGAGGCCGAAGGGCGUAGUCGAUGGGCAUCAGGCAGAUAUUCCUGAACCGGUGCAAAUUGUUUGAGUGAAGUGGUGACACGGCUCAGUGCGGCCCACCCGGCGUUGGUAGUCCGGGGUUGUAUGUAGGAGCAGACAGGUAGGCAAAUCCGCUUGUGAUGAAAGCUUCGGCAUAUGAGGAGACAAAGAGAAAUCGGCGUUUAACCGGUUGCUCGGGUCGUCAAGAAAACCCGCUAAUGAGAUUUGUACCGACCGUACCGCAAACCGACACAGGUAGGCAAGUAGAGGAUACUAAGGCGUGCGAGAUAACCCUCGUUAAGGAACUAGGCAAGUUGACCCCGUAACUUCGGGAGAAGGGGUGCCUCGGUUGGAGAGUAUUUUGACAUAUGAUUUGACUGAGGUCGCAGUGACAAGGCUCGAGCGACUGUUUAACAAAAACACAGGUCUCUGCUAAGCUGAAAAGCAAUGUAUAGGGGCUGACACCUGCCCAAUGCCGGAAGGUUAAGAGGAGAGGUUAGUCGCAAGACGAAGCUUUGAAUUUAAGCCCCAGUAAACGGCGGCCGUAACUAUAACGGUCCUAAGGUAGCGAAAUUCCUUGUCGGGUAAGUUCCGACCCGCACGAAUGGUGUAACGAUUUGAGCGCUGUCUCAACAAGGGACCCGGCGAAAUUGUAGUAUGGGUGAAGAUGCCCAUUACCCGCAUCAGGACGGAAAGACCCCGUAGAGCUUUACUGUAGCUUGAUAUUGAAUUUUGGUAUAUGAUGCACAGCAUAGGUGGGAGCAGCAAUGCAGCAGUGGAAUACCACCCUUUGUAUAUUGGGAUUCUAACAUCUUGCCGUAAUCCGGGAGAUGGACAGUGUCAGGCGGGUAGUUUGACUGGGGCGGUCGCCUCCCAAAAAGUAACGGAGGCGUACAAAGGUUGCCUCAGGAUGGUUGGAAAUCAUCCGUUAGAGUAUAAGUGCAGAAGCCAACUUGACUGCGAGAACGACGGUUCGAGCAGGUGCGAAAGCAGGUACUAAUGACCCUCUGGCUCAGUGUGGAAUGGCCAGGGUUCAUCGGAUAAAAGUUACCCCGGGGAUAACAGGCUUAUCUUGCCCAAGCGCUCACAUCGACGGCAAGGUUUGGCACCUCGAUGUCGGCUCGUCGCAUCCUGGGGCUGUAGUCGGUCCCAAGGGUUAGGCUGUUCGCCUAUUAAAGCGGUACGCGAGCUGGGUUCAGAACGUCGUGAGACAGUUCGGUCCCUAUCCGGUGUGGGCGCAAGAGAUUUGAACGGAUCUGUCCUUAGUACGAGAGGACCGGGAUGGACGGACCUCCGGUGUACCGGUUGUCGUGCCAACGGCAGGUGCCGAGUAGCUAUGUCCGGAACGGAUAACCGCUGAAAGCAUCUAAGUGGGAAGCCGGCCGUAAGAUUAGGUCACUCACGGAAUUAAUCCGGUAAGGUCCCCGAUAGACUAUCGGGUUGAUAGGUCGCAGGUGUAAGUGCAGUAAUGUAUUGU